AAGUCGUAACAAGGUUUCCGUAGGUGAACCUGCGGAAGGAUCAUUAACGAAUAUCUAUGGCGUUGGUUGUAGCUGGCUCCUAGGAGUAUUGUGCACGCCCGUCAUUCAUAUCAUCUUUCCACCUGUGAACCAUGUGUAGGCCUGGAUACCCCUCGCUUUGGCAACAAAGCGGAUGCAAGGAUUGCUGCGUCGACAAGGCCGGCUCUCUUUGAACUUCCAGGUUCUAUGUCUUUUACACACCCCAUUGAAUGAUUUAGAAUGUAGUCAAUGGGCUUUCAUGCCUAUAAAAAACUAUACAACUUUCAGCAACGGAUCUCUUGGCUCUC
This 326-nucleotide unclassified non-coding RNA is filed under the name air metagenome. RNAcentral's name for it is "partial contains small subunit ribosomal RNA, internal transcribed spacer 1, and 5.8S ribosomal RNA". The stretch from base 1 to 46 matches the Rfam family "Eukaryotic small subunit ribosomal RNA", at positions 1786 to 1831 of the family's 1831-position model. The record is from RNAcentral.